This 22-nucleotide non-coding RNA is filed under the name Arabidopsis thaliana (thale cress). Lineage: Eukaryota; Viridiplantae; Streptophyta; Magnoliopsida; Brassicales; Brassicaceae. The record is from RNAcentral.
UCAAGUAUGGGUGGUAUACUCC